RNAcentral lists this ribosomal RNA (455 nucleotides) under uncultured bacterium. RNAcentral describes it as "partial 16S ribosomal RNA". It matches the Rfam family "Bacterial small subunit ribosomal RNA", at positions 342 to 795 of the family's 1533-position model. The record is from RNAcentral.
CGGGCGGCAGCAGUGAGGAAUAUUGGUCAAUGGACGGAAGUCUGAACCAGCCAUGCCGCGUGCAGGAAGACGGCUCUAUGAGUUGUAAACUGCUUUUGUACAAGGGUAAACCUGAAUACGUGUAUUCAGCUGAAAGUACUGUACGAAUAAGGAUCGGCUAACUCCGUGCCAGCAGCCGCGGUAAUACGGAGGAUCCAAGCGUUAUCCGGAUUUAUUGGGUUUAAAGGGUGCGUAGGCGGAAGGUUAAGUCAGCGGUCAAAUGUCGGUGCUCAACACCGGCCUGCCGUUGAAACUGGUCUUUUUGAGUGAGCGAGAAGUAUGCGGAAUGCGUGGUGUAGCGGUGAAAUGCAUAGAUAUCACGCAGAACUCCGAUUGCGAAGGCAGCAUACCGGCGCUCAACUGACGCUGAGGCACGAAAGCGUGGGGAUCGAACAGGAUUAGAUACCCGUGUAGUC